Long non-coding RNA from Suricata suricatta (meerkat), 192 nucleotides. RefSeq lists it as uncharacterized. The record is from RefSeq and is a predicted model, not a curated record. Lineage: Eukaryota; Metazoa; Chordata; Mammalia; Carnivora; Herpestidae. The transcript has 3 exons.
UCCGUUUUGCCUUCUGUGGACAGUUGUCCCAUUGGAUAUAGAACCGAAGUUUCGGGAAUGACAAAUCGGAUGCAUCUUGAAUCCACUUCUUCCCAGUGACAGUGGCUGCCUGAAGUCCUGAGAGGAGGAGGAUUCUGAGGGAUAGAGCUGGACUCAGAGAAGAAUCACCAAUAUGUAUAAAGAAUAAAUGAG